Molecule: non-coding RNA, 114 nt
Filed under: Mucilaginibacter sp.
Lineage: Bacteria; Pseudomonadati; Bacteroidota; Sphingobacteriia; Sphingobacteriales; Sphingobacteriaceae
Also listed under: 1 other name
Description: SAM-I sequence
Rfam family: SAM riboswitch aptamer (S box leader)
About the family: The SAM riboswitch is found upstream of a number of genes which code for proteins involved in methionine or cysteine biosynthesis in Gram-positive bacteria.
Source: RNAcentral
UGCUUAUAGAGAAAGGCGGAGGGAUUAGACCCUGCGAUGCCUUAGCAACCUGUACUUACAAGGUGCUACAUUCUACUCAGAACCACUCUUUUCAGGGUCUGGGACAGAUAAGCG